Molecule: long non-coding RNA, 710 nt
Organism: Xenopus laevis (African clawed frog)
Lineage: Eukaryota; Metazoa; Chordata; Amphibia; Anura; Pipidae
Exons: 3
Source: RefSeq, a predicted model, not a curated record
GCCAUUGGCCAGCUAUAGGCAGAUGUAUUAAAGUUAAAUACUGUUCUUUAUCUAUACUCAUCAAACACUCUGUGUAAAAAGAAUGGCCUCCUAAUAAAUACCUAUGAAUCAUUUCAGAGACCUUUCACCGGAUACGACAGGGACUUUAUAUAUGAUUCCAUCGUGGAGGAUGAGCCACACUACCCCUCAUCCCUGGACUCCGAAGCAGUAAACUUCAUAUCACAGCUGUUGAAGAAGAAUCCUGAGGAGAGGCUAGGUUCCACCCCGGGGAAUGCCGCAGAUGUAGCAGAACAUCCAUUCUUUAAUGGCAUUGUCUGGGAUGAUAUUAUCGAGAAGAACGUAACAGCUCCGUUCGUGCCCAGCCUAAAUGGACCGGAGGAUGUGGGGUAUUUCGAUGAGGAGUUCACCAAACUGUCUGCGAAUCUGACCCAGCCCAAAGGACCCCCUGCUGAGAUGGCAAGCGAGAUCGAUGAAGCCUUUCUGGACUUUAACUAUGCAGCAUUUUAAGUCCAAAGGGGAUGAUGGGUAAGAAAAGACCUAAUUAAAAAUACAUGAAGCACAAGUCAGAACAAGAAGUGCCUAGCAUUAGUAUUCCUUGAGUUAUGGGUGCAGGGGCACUGAUCAGAGCAGAGCUGGCUAUGGGAAGCAGCCAUAUUGGGUGCAUGCAGGGCAAAGUGGAUUUUAUUGAAAUAUUAAGAUGAUCCCUAUAA